GACGAACCGUGCGAACGUUGUUCGGAAUCACUGGGCGUAAAGCGCACGUAGGCGGAUUUUUAAGUCAGGGGUGAAAUCCCGAGGCUCAACCUCGGAACUGCCUUUGAUACUGAGGAUCUGGAGUCCGGGAGAGGUGAGCGGAACUGCGAGUGUAGAGGUGAAAUUCGUAGAUAUUCGCAAGAACACCAGUGGCGAAGGCGGCUCACUGGCCCGGAACUGACGCUGAGGUGCGAAAGCGUGGGGAGCAAACAGG
Molecule: ribosomal RNA, 253 nt
Filed under: uncultured bacterium
Lineage: Bacteria
Description: partial 16S ribosomal RNA
Rfam family: Bacterial small subunit ribosomal RNA
Source: RNAcentral